CACGUAGUCUGCCAUACGCAGGAAGACCC
RNAcentral lists this ribosomal RNA (29 nucleotides) under Trichomonas sp. RWG-2007-2. RNAcentral's name for it is "partial 28S ribosomal RNA". Lineage: Eukaryota; Parabasalia; Trichomonadida; Trichomonadidae. The record is from RNAcentral.